This 301-nucleotide ribosomal RNA is filed under the name uncultured bacterium. RNAcentral describes it as "partial 16S ribosomal RNA". It matches the Rfam family "Bacterial small subunit ribosomal RNA", at positions 509 to 807 of the family's 1533-position model. The record is from RNAcentral.
CAGUCGCCGCGGUAAUACGUAGGUGGCAAGCGUUGUCCGGAAUUAUUGGGCGUAAAGGGCUCGCAGGCGGUUUCUUAAGUCUGAUGUGAAAGCCCCCGGCUCAACCGGGGAGGGUCAUUGGAAACUGGGAAACUUGAGUGCAGAAGAGGAGAGUGGAAUUCCACGUGUAGCGGUGAAAUGCGUAGAGAUGUGGAGGAACACCAGUGGCGAAGGCGACUCUCUGGUCUGUAACUGACGCUGAGGAGCGGAAGCGUGGGGAGCGAACAGGACUAGAUACCCGUGUAGUCCCUGUCUCUUAUAC